AACUGCGAAUGGCUCAUUAAAUCAGUUAUCGUUUAUUUGAUAGUACCUUACUACUUGGAUACCCGUGGUAAUUCUAGAGCUAAUACAUGCUAAAAACCCCAACUUCGGGAGGGGUGUGUUUAUUAGAUAAAAAACCAACGCCCUUCGGGGCUCCUUGGUGAUUCAUGAUAACCUCUCAGAUCGCACGGCCUUGCGCCGGCGACGGUUCAUUCAAAUUUCUGCCCUAUCAACUUUCGAUGGUAAGGUAUUGGCUUACCAUGGUUUCAACGGGUAACGGGGAAUUAGGGUUCGAUUCCGGAGAGUGAGCCUGAGAAACGGCUCACACAUCCAAGGAAGGCAGCAGGCGCGCAAAUUACCCAAUCCCGACACGGGGAGGUAGUGACAAUAAAUACUGAUACAGGGCUCUUUUGGGUCUUGUAAUUGGAAUGAGUACAAUUUAAACCUCUUAACGAGGAACAAUUGGAGGGCAAGUCUGGUGCCAGCAGCCGCGGUAAUUCCAGCUCCAAUAGCGUAUAUUAAAGUUGUUGCAGUUAAAAAGCUCGUAGUUGAAUCUUUGGCCUGGCUGGCGGGUCCGCCUCACCGCGUGCACUUGUCCGGCCGGGCCUUCUCUUCUGGAGAACCGCAUGCCCUUCACUGGGCGUGUUGGGGACCAGGACUUUUACUUUGAAAAAAUUAGAGUGUUCAAAGCAGGCCUUUGCUCGAAUACGUUAGCAUGGAAUAAUAGAAUAGGACGUGCGGUCCUAUUUUGUUGGUUUCUAGGACCGCCGUAAUGAUUAAUAGGGACAGUCGGGGGCAUCAGUAUUCAAUUGUCAGAGGUGAAAUUCUUGGAUUUAUUGAAGACUAACUACUGCGAAAGCAUUUGCCAAGGAUGUUUUCAUUAAUCAGUGAACGAAAGUUAGGGGAUCGAAGACGAUCAGAUACCGUCGUAGUCUUAACCAUAAACUAUGCCGACUAGGGAUCGGGCGGUGUUAUCGAUUUGACCCGCUCGGCACCUUGCGAGAAAUCAAAG
This 1009-nucleotide ribosomal RNA is filed under the name Dictyosporium muriformis. RNAcentral describes it as "SSU rRNA". It matches the Rfam family "Eukaryotic small subunit ribosomal RNA", at positions 85 to 1103 of the family's 1831-position model. The record is from RNAcentral. Lineage: Eukaryota; Fungi; Ascomycota; Dothideomycetes; Pleosporales; Dictyosporiaceae.